UACGGAGGGUGCGAGCGUUGUCCGGAAUCAUUGGGCGUAAAGGGCGCGUAGGUGGCGGGAUAAGCGUGCGGUGAAAGCUUGGGGCUCAACCCCGAGUCUGCCGUGCGAACUGUUCUGCUUGAGCACUGUAGAGGCAGGCGGAAUUCCGGGUGUAGCGGUGGAAUGCGUAGAGAUCCGGAAGAACACCGGUGGCGAAGGCGGCCUGCUGGGCAGUUGCUGACACUGAGGCGCGACAGCCAGGGGAGCGAACGGG
Molecule: ribosomal RNA, 253 nt
Filed under: uncultured bacterium
Lineage: Bacteria
Description: partial 16S ribosomal RNA
Rfam family: Bacterial small subunit ribosomal RNA
Source: RNAcentral